Molecule: microRNA precursor, 96 nt
Filed under: Nicotiana sylvestris (wood tobacco)
Lineage: Eukaryota; Viridiplantae; Streptophyta; Magnoliopsida; Solanales; Solanaceae
Description: MIR6152 microRNA precursor family
Rfam family: MIR6152 microRNA precursor family
Source: Rfam by way of RNAcentral
UAGACAAAUUAUUGUAUUCGAUUGUAUUUACGACGUGAAACAGGGGAUUACACUGUUUUCAAACGGAAAGUGAAACAAUUAACUUAAUAGACUCCG